Molecule: long non-coding RNA, 407 nt
Filed under: Mustela putorius furo (domestic ferret)
Lineage: Eukaryota; Metazoa; Chordata; Mammalia; Carnivora; Mustelidae
Description: lncRNA (ENSMPUG00000027437.1)
Source: RNAcentral
AUCCAUUGAGAACAGCAGUUGUCAUGUAACAUUUUUGGUCCUUUCUUACAGCAAAGACUGAAGGAAGAGAAGGAAGCCAAACGGGCACGUUUGGAUGGUAGGCAUGCCUACUUAUUUGCAAUUAUAGCUUCCUGCAUAGACCUGGACAAAACUGAAGUGGAAGAUGCCAUUCUUGAGGGGAAUCAGAUUGAAAGAAUCGAUCAGCUUUUCACUGCUGGCGGUCUUCGUCACCUUAUAUUUUAUUAUCAGGAUGUGGAUGUGGCAGAAACAGGUAUCCAGACUUGGUGUUAUGUUACCCACAAAUGUGUUGCUAGGUUCAUCCAAGGAUGGCAUGAAGCUGAAGGCCACCCUUGGAGCUGACAUUUCCACCUUGGCCCAUGGGACAGAUGGGCCACCUACACUUCCAC